UACGAAGGGGGCUAGCGUUGCUCGGAAUCACUGGGCGUAAAGCGCACGUAGGCGGGUCGUUAAGUCAGGGGUGAAAUCCUGGAGCUCAACUCCAGAACUGCCCUUGAUACUGGCGAUCUCGAGUUCGGGAGAGGUGAGUGGAACUGCGAGUGUAGAGGUGAAAUUCGUAGAUAUUCGCAAGAACACCAGUGGCGAAGGCGGCUCACUGGCCCGAUACUGACGCUGAGGUGCGAAAGCGUGGGGAGCGAACAGG
RNAcentral lists this ribosomal RNA (253 nucleotides) under uncultured bacterium. RNAcentral's name for it is "partial 16S ribosomal RNA". It matches the Rfam family "Bacterial small subunit ribosomal RNA", at positions 524 to 776 of the family's 1533-position model. The record is from RNAcentral.